UGCCAGCCGCCGCGGUAAGACGGAGGAUUCAAGCGUUAUCCGGAAUUAUUGGGUUUAAAGGGUCCGCAGGCUGUUUGUUAAGUUAGAGGUGAAAUCCUACCGCUCAACGGUAGAACUGCCUUUAAAACUGGCAAACUUGAGUUAUUGUGAAGUAAUUAGAAUGUGUAGUGUAGCGGUGAAAUGCAUAGAUAUUACACAGAAUACCGAUUGCGAAAGCAGAUUACUAACAAUUAACUGACGCUGAGGGCCCAAAGCCUGGGUAGCGAACCGGAUUUGAUA
This 279-nucleotide ribosomal RNA is filed under the name uncultured bacterium. RNAcentral describes it as "partial 16S ribosomal RNA". It matches the Rfam family "Bacterial small subunit ribosomal RNA", at positions 506 to 784 of the family's 1533-position model. The record is from RNAcentral.